This 793-nucleotide long non-coding RNA is filed under the name Mustela putorius furo (domestic ferret). RNAcentral's name for it is "lncRNA (ENSMPUG00000030870.1)". Lineage: Eukaryota; Metazoa; Chordata; Mammalia; Carnivora; Mustelidae. The record is from RNAcentral.
UACACUCAAUAAAUGGUGUUUUACUUGUUCACUCUGUUCAACUAAUAUGCAUUAAUGUUCCACAGUGUUGCAGGCGUUGUGUUGAUGUUGCAGCUACAGCCGGUUUGAUUUCUGGCCUUCGGGGAUCUCACAUACAGAGACUGAAGCAGGAAAAUAUGACGACACGUGAUCCACUGGAACAGAGGCUCCGUGAAUUCAUGCUGGUGCUUUUCUUUGGUUCUGCUCACUGCUGUAUCACAAGCCCUUGGAACAACGGCUGCACACAGUAAAGACAAAGAAAAUCUUCUGACGCAUAGAGCUGUGUUUUGACUGCCUGAUGAUUUAGACAAUUACAAAGAACACGGACUUUGGAGUCACCUAGAACUUAGUCUGAAUGCUGCUCUGUUAUUUGCUACUUGUAUAAUCAUUGGCAAGAUAUUGAUCUGAGUGUGAGUUUCCUCAUCUAUAAAAUGGAGGUAAGUAUAUAUGUAUAUAAGUGAGAGAGAGAGAGAGAGUAAGAGAGAGAGAGAGAGAUUGUGUGCCUACCAUUCACAGAUAGGGAAUAAAUAGUAGCUUGUCAUAAAAAUGCAAGUUUUAGGAUGUUUUGCCCUUAAAAAACUUUCUUUUAUUCUGGGGUAAGUAAAGAAUAAAACCCUGAGCUCUGGCUUGUCCUGAGAAGUCAAAAGUGGGCCAUUCUCAAACCAGAUUAACUAGCCUAAGCUAUUUUAUCCCUUCUUCAAACAACCUAAGUUUCAUUUAACAUAUUUUAAAAAUCAUCCAAGUCUCUUUAAGUUGUGGAAUGCCAUAUCAGUUG